UGGUGGUGACAAGAAGUACAUUCGGAAUUACAUGCCAGUCUACUAUGACUGUAUUUAUUCUGAGCGAAAGUCCCUGGGUCAUUGAACUGAAAGAGUUGCAGCGUAAGUGCUGCUACGCGGCCUUAGAAUAUUCUUCACAGGCGUAUUAUGUCAUGAAGCGAGCUAAUUGUGGAGCAUUUGCGUCUGGCGCCGUUGUCACCGAAAGCAAAGAGACGUACAAAUCUAACAGCAUAGGGCUCACUCUGUCUGCCACU
RNAcentral lists this RNase MRP RNA (254 nucleotides) under Strongyloides stercoralis. RNAcentral's name for it is "RNase MRP". It matches the Rfam family "RNase MRP". Rfam says of the family: RNase MRP is an enzymatically active ribonucleoprotein with two distinct roles in eukaryotes. In mitochondria it plays a direct role in the initiation of mitochondrial DNA replication. In the nucleus it is involved in precursor rRNA processing, where it cleaves the internal transcribed spacer 1 between 18S and 5.8S rRNAs. Lineage: Eukaryota; Metazoa; Nematoda; Chromadorea; Rhabditida; Strongyloididae. The record is from Rfam by way of RNAcentral.